This 253-nucleotide ribosomal RNA is filed under the name uncultured bacterium. Its description in RNAcentral is "partial 16S ribosomal RNA". It matches the Rfam family "Bacterial small subunit ribosomal RNA", at positions 524 to 776 of the family's 1533-position model. The record is from RNAcentral.
UACGGAGGGGGCCAGCGUUGUUCGGAAUCAUUGGGCGUAAAGGGCGCGUAGGCGGCCGGGUAAGUCUGACGUGAAAUCCCUUGGCUCAACCAAGGAAUUGCGUCUUAAACUGCCUGGCUUGAGUCCGGGAGAGGGUAGUGGAAUUCCCAGUGUAGCGGUGAAAUGCGUAGAUAUUGGGAGGAACACCGGUGGCGAAGGCGGCUACCUGGACCGGUACUGACGCUGAGGCGCGAAAGCGUGGGGAGCAAACAGG